RNAcentral lists this transfer RNA (67 nucleotides) under Marmota monax (woodchuck). Its description in RNAcentral is "tRNA.Leu". Lineage: Eukaryota; Metazoa; Chordata; Mammalia; Rodentia; Sciuridae. The record is from RNAcentral.
GGUUAUGGCUUAGUGGUAAAGUGCCUGCUUAGAACAAAUGAGGCACUGGGUUCAAUCCUCAGCACCA